CCUACGGGAGGCUGCAGUGGGGAAUAUUGCGCAAUGGGCGAAAGCCUGACGCAGCGACGCCGCGUGAGGGAUGCAGGUCUUCGGAUCGUAAACCUCUGUCAGCAGGGAAGAACGGUCACUGUGCUAAUCAGCAGUGAAUGGACGGUACCUGCAAAGGAAGCACCGGCUAACUCCGUGCCAGCAGCCGCGGUAAUACGGAGGGUGCGAGCGUUAAUCGGAAUUAUUGGGUUGAAAGGGAGCGUAGGCCGCAUGUCAAGCGUGCUGUGAAAUGUCCGGGCUCAACCCGGGCCUUGCAGCGCGAACUGGCGUGCGUGAGUCCGCGGAAAGCAGGCGGAAUUCGUCGUGUAGCGGUGAAAUGCUUAGAUAUGACGAAGAACCCCGAUUGCGAAGGCAGCUUGCUGCAGCGGAACUGACGCUGAUGCGCGAAAGCGUGGGGAGCAAACAGGAUUAGAUACCCCAGUAGUC
RNAcentral lists this ribosomal RNA (465 nucleotides) under uncultured bacterium. RNAcentral's name for it is "partial 16S ribosomal RNA". It matches the Rfam family "Bacterial small subunit ribosomal RNA", at positions 338 to 795 of the family's 1533-position model. The record is from RNAcentral.